GAGAGAGACGCUCUUCUUCCUCCCGCCGCUGUCCCAUCUCACAUCUGCUCUGCCUGCGCACAUUUCUCUUCCCUCUUCGAUGAGCUGCGCGAACGGCGCCCUUCCUUCCUCCUGCGCUGAAGCAACAAGAUCCUCCGAUGCCAUUGGAGUUGAUUCUCUCCGCGCAAGUGGGAAAAACUGAUGCUGGCGAAAACACGCGUCCCUGUUCCCAGCCCGUCGCUGUGACACUGUGUUGAGGGCAGCGGCGGCGGCCUCCAGGUGCGGCAUGAUCAUGUGUCAUUGCUGAAGCGCGGCACGCAUGCUGUGAUGCUGAGUCGUCCCCACAUCCACAUCCACAUCCCUGUCCACUCAGGACGGAUCCACCCGAACAGCAGAGUGGAUUCACUCAGGGGGAAGGCUACACCACCUUGCAUCUCCUCCACCUCCUCGAGGCUGGGACACCAGGGCAUGUGAGAGAGCAGAAGGGGUCCGGGGCAAUAACAGGGCACUGUGUUUGAGAAGAUUUGUGUGGCAGAGAGAAGCACAGCGGCGCACCCUUGAGGCUUCUGGGUCUCACUACAGCACUGUGGACACAGCUAGUUAGUACCUAGUGCUGAAUGGCCACAAGUCUGAACCACAGCAGCAUUAAUGAGUAUAACUGCAAAGUGAGAUGCUCAUCAUGCACCGUGCUUUUCUGCGCUUUAAUCGCAAUGACCGUAGAGCUGCUCUCAAUGUAAAUCACAUCCUCUGUCAUCCGUAGGUGAGCUACAAGUUGACUGGUACGACUGGGC
This 770-nucleotide long non-coding RNA is filed under the name Scleropages formosus (Asian bonytongue). Its description in RNAcentral is "lncRNA (ENSSFOG00015031628.1)". Lineage: Eukaryota; Metazoa; Chordata; Actinopteri; Osteoglossiformes; Osteoglossidae. The record is from RNAcentral.